GGCCACUAAUUAUGAGGAUAAUUUAUGUUUUGAAAGCAUACCCAAGAGGUUCGACUCCUCUAUUGGUCU
RNAcentral lists this transfer RNA (69 nucleotides) under unidentified. RNAcentral's name for it is "Epeorus gibbus tRNA-Ser". The record is from RNAcentral.